UAGGGAAUCUUCCACAAUGGGCGCAAGCCUGAUGGAGCAACACCGCGUGAGUGAAGAAGGGUUUCGGCUCGUAAAGCUCUGUUGUUAAAGAAGAACACGUAUGAGAGUAACUGUUCAUACGUUGACGGUAUUUAACCAGAAAGUCACGGCUAACUACGUGCCAGCAGCCGCGGUAAUACGUAGGUGGCAAGCGUUAUCCGGAUUUAUUGGGCGUAAAGAGAGUGCAGGCGGUUUUCUAAGUCUGAUGUGAAAGCCUUCGGCUUAACCGGAGAAGUGCAUCGGAAACUGGAUAACUUGAGUGCAGAAGAGGGUAGUGGAACUCCAUGUGUAGCGGUGGAAUGCGUAGAUAUAUGGAAGAACACCAGUGGCGAAGGCGGCUACCUGGUCUGCAACUGACGCUGAGACUCGAAAGCAUGGGUAGCGAACAGGAUUAGAUACCCUGGUAGUCCAUACCGUAAACGAUGAGUGCUAGGUGUUGGAGGCUUUCCGCCCUUCAGUGCCGGAGCUAACGCAUUAAGCACUCCGCCUGGGGAGUACGACCGCAAGGUUG
Molecule: ribosomal RNA, 550 nt
Filed under: uncultured bacterium
Lineage: Bacteria
Description: bacterial SSU rRNA
Rfam family: Bacterial small subunit ribosomal RNA
Source: RNAcentral